UUCCCCUUCGGGGGCAAAGUGACAGGUGGUGCAUGGUUGUCGUCAGCUCGUGUCGUGAGAUGUUGGGUUAAGUCCCGCAACGAGCGCAACCCUUAUUGUUAGUUGCCAUCAUUCAGUUGGGCACUCUAGCAAGACUGCCGGUGACAAACCGGAGGAAGGUGGGGAUGACGUCAAAUCAUCAUGCCCCUUAUGACCUGGGCUACACACGUGCUACAAUGGGAAGUACAACGAGUUGCGAAGUCGCGAGGCUAAGCUAAUCUCUUAAAGCUUCUCUCAGUUCGGAUUGCAGGCUGCAACUCGCCUGCAUGAAGCCGGAAUCGCUAGUAAUCGCGGAUCAGCACGCCGCGGUGAAUACGUUCCCGGGCCUUGUACACACCGCCCGUCACACCACGAGAGUUUGUAACACCCGAAGUCGGUGAGGUAACCUUUUGGAGCCAGCCGCCUAAGGUGGGAUAGAUGAUUGGGGUGAAGUCGUAACAAGGUAGCCGUAUCGGAAGGUGCGGCUGGAUCACCUCCUUU
RNAcentral lists this ribosomal RNA (519 nucleotides) under Enterococcus faecium. Its description in RNAcentral is "bacterial SSU rRNA". It matches the Rfam family "Bacterial small subunit ribosomal RNA", at positions 1013 to 1533 of the family's 1533-position model. The record is from RNAcentral. Lineage: Bacteria; Bacillati; Bacillota; Bacilli; Lactobacillales; Enterococcaceae. RNAcentral also lists the same sequence under 1 other name.